UACGUAGGGGGCUAGCGUUGUCCGGAAUCAUUGGGCGUAAAGAGCGUGUAGGCGGCCCGGUAAGUCCGCUGUAAAAGUCAAAGGCUCAACCUUUGAAUGUCAGUGGAUACUGCCGGGCUAGAGUCCGGAAGAGGCGAGUGGAACUCCUGGUGUAGCGGUGGAAUGCGCAGAUAUCAGGAGGAACACCGAUAGCGAAGGCAGCUCGCUGGGACGGUACUGACGCUGAGGUGCGAAAGCGUGGGGAGCGAACAGG
This 253-nucleotide ribosomal RNA is filed under the name uncultured bacterium. Its description in RNAcentral is "partial 16S ribosomal RNA". It matches the Rfam family "Bacterial small subunit ribosomal RNA", at positions 524 to 776 of the family's 1533-position model. The record is from RNAcentral.